AUGCGGAGGUCGGACUGGGAGGACCGGUGCCGGCGGCACCCGGAGCACCGGCUGUCCAAGGGCGUGUGCCCGAGCUGCCUCCGCGACCGCCUCGCCCGCCUCUCCGCCAACUCCUCGGCCACCACCACCCUGACGCGCGCCUCAAACUCGGCCAGCACCUCCCCCUACUCCUCCACCGACUCCCCUCCGCUCCACCGCGCCGCCCUCUCCGCCGACGCCACCUCCGUCCACGUCGUCGGCGCCGGGGCGGGCUCCUCCUUCGUCAACGUCUCCGCCUUCUCGCAGCUGCUCAUGCCGACGGCCUCGAAGAAACCAGCAGAAUCCAAGGGAAAGGAGGGCGAGGCGAAGAAGAAGAAGAGCAGCAGCAAGAAGAAGAUCGGGAGGUUCUUGUCGAGGCUGGUCGGGACGGAGAAGCGGCGGAAAACAGGGGAAGCAGGCGAUGGCGGCGAGCUCUUCCAUUCCAGCACCAUGAAGGAGAAGUCGUCGACCAAGUGGGUUUUCUUUUGA
RNAcentral lists this ribosomal RNA (507 nucleotides) under Triticum aestivum (bread wheat). RNAcentral describes it as "partial small subunit ribosomal RNA". Lineage: Eukaryota; Viridiplantae; Streptophyta; Magnoliopsida; Poales; Poaceae. The record is from RNAcentral.